AGAUUAAUAAAAUUUAGGCUUCUAACUUAUAAUUUAAUGUAAAAUAAAAUUACAUUUAAUCUU
Molecule: transfer RNA, 63 nt
Filed under: Echinolaelaps echidninus
Lineage: Eukaryota; Metazoa; Arthropoda; Arachnida; Mesostigmata; Laelapidae
Description: tRNA-Ser
Source: RNAcentral